UGGGGAAUUUUGGACAAUGGGCGAAAGCCUGAUCCAGCAAUGCCGCGUGUGUGAAGAAGGCCUUCGGGUUGUAAAGCACUUUUGUCCGGAAAGAAAUCCUUGGCUCUAAUACAGUCGGGGGAUGACGGUACCGGAAGAAUAAGCACCGGCUAACUACGUGCCAGCAGCCGCGGUAAUACGUAGGGUGCAAGCGUUAAUCGGAAUUACUGGGCGUAAAGCGUGCGCAGGCGGUUUGCUAAGACCGAUGUGAAAUCCCCGGGCUCAACCUGGGAACUGCAUUGGUGACUGGCAGGCUAGAGUAUGGCAGAGGGGGGUAGAAUUCCACGUGUAGCAGUGAAAUGCGUAGAGAUGUGGAGGAAUACCGAUGGCGAAGGCAGCCCCCUGGGCCAAUACUGACGCUCAUGCACGAAAGCGUGGGGAGCAAACAGGAUUAGAUACCCUGGUAGUCCACGCCCCAAACGAUGUCAACUAGUUGUUGGGGAUUCAUUUUCCUUAGUAACGUGCUAACGCGUGAAGUUGACCGCCUGGGGGAGUACGGUCGCAAGAUUAAAACUCAAAGGAAUUGACGGGGUCAUA
RNAcentral lists this ribosomal RNA (576 nucleotides) under uncultured bacterium. Its description in RNAcentral is "partial 16S ribosomal RNA". It matches the Rfam family "Bacterial small subunit ribosomal RNA", at positions 355 to 923 of the family's 1533-position model. The record is from RNAcentral.